Molecule: long non-coding RNA, 263 nt
Organism: Mytilus californianus (California mussel)
Lineage: Eukaryota; Metazoa; Mollusca; Bivalvia; Mytilida; Mytilidae
Exons: 3
Source: RefSeq, a predicted model, not a curated record
GCUGUAACAAAAGACAAAGGAAAUGUACAAACUAAAGAAUAACCUUAUCAUGCGUUAAAACUGGAUCAAUUAGCAGUGCCAAAAUUAAGGAUAUUCAAGAUAUGCAGAAGUAUAUAAGCUUAGAAAUGAUUUAAACCAUCCUGGAGGAGCAAAUUUUGUGAAGAAGCCAGUAGAUGUCAAAAGAAAUAAAAAGAAUGGAACAAAAGGAAAAUUGAAAAAGAACAGUGAUAUGACAAUAUUGAAUAAAUGUUUUGCAUUUCUAA